This 425-nucleotide ribosomal RNA is filed under the name uncultured bacterium. Its description in RNAcentral is "bacterial SSU rRNA". It matches the Rfam family "Bacterial small subunit ribosomal RNA", at positions 356 to 773 of the family's 1533-position model. The record is from RNAcentral.
GCGGAAUAUUGCGCAAUGGGGGCAACCCUGACGCAGCGACGCCGCGUGAGUGAGGAAGGCCUUCGGGUCGUAAAGCUCUGUCAAAGGGGAAGAAGUGCAUGGUGGUUAAUAUCUGUCAUGUUUGACGGUACCCUUAAAGGAAGCACCGGCUAACUCCGUGCCAGCAGCCGCGGUAAUACGGAGGGUGCAAGCGUUGUUCGGAAUCACUGGGCGUAAAGGGCGCGCAGGCGGUUUGAAUAGUCAGAUGUGAAAGCCACGGCUUAACCGUGGAAGUGCAUUUGAAACUGUCAGACUUGAGUACCAGAGGGGAAAGUGGAAUUCCCGGUGUAGAGGUGAAAUUCGUAGAUAUCGGGAGGAAUACCGGUGGCGAAGGCGACUUUCUGGCUGGAGACUGACGCUGAGGCGCGAAAGCGUGGGGAGCAAAC